Molecule: non-coding RNA, 801 nt
Organism: Equus caballus (horse)
Lineage: Eukaryota; Metazoa; Chordata; Mammalia; Perissodactyla; Equidae
Source: RefSeq, a predicted model, not a curated record
UCUGUGGGGGAGGGGGAAGAAGGAGGGAGGCGAAGGGGGAUGGCACCGGGGACAAGUAGGCCCCUGGCCAGAAUAGGCAGCCCCUCCUUCCCCUCCGAGGGUGGCUGUUUACUGAGCAAACGGCCCUCCCUUCUCACCCUCCCCCACCCCGACUUCCCCAGCAAAAAUGCAGCCUCUGCCUUUCUGGCCUAUUCUGGCCCGGUUGCAUCCACACGCCUCCGACGCUGGGGAGGACUCGGCAGGAGCCUCAAAUGGCACCCACUCGCCAGCCUCCCUCCCAGUGGAUGCUUCUAUUUUAGGCACCGCAUUAUUUCCUGCUGUGAUUUUUUCAGCCUUCUAAUUCGGGCUCUGAGGGAAAAAACAGUAACUUUAUGAUGGAGAAACCUGACAGACAUCUCCUUACCCAAGUGAUCAAAGUUAACACCAACAAGACUGGAGCAAACAGACAUCAUGUGGCUCCUGAUAUGAUACACUGAGAAGGACACAGCAUCACUUCUGUGAGGUUCCUGCAAACAAAUGCCUAACCUGAAUCUAAUUGUGAGCAAGCACCAGACUAACCCAAGCUGAGGAACAUUCUACAAAACGACUGGCCUGUACUCUUGAAAAAUAUCGAUGUCGUGAAAGAGAAGGAAAGGCUGAGGAACCAUUCUAGAUUAAAAACUAAAGAGAUAUGACAAUUAAAUGGAACGUAUGAUCCUGGAUUGGAUCCUGGACUAGAAAAAAAAUCAUUAUAAAGAAAUUAUUGGAACAACUGGAUAAAUUUUAAUAUGCAUUGCACAUUAAAUAAUAGCAUUAUAUCAA